GGAUGUUGGCUUAGAAGCAGCCACCAUUUAAAGAGUGCGUAAUAGCUCACUGGUCGAGAGACCCUGCGCCGAAGAUUACCGGGGCUAAAGUACGAAACCGAAGCUGUGGCUACGACGUAAGUCGUGGGGUAGGGGAGCGUUCUGUGAGGGCUGAAGUCGUUCUGUAAGGAACGGUGGACUUCACAGAAGUGAGAAUGUUGGUAUGAGUAGCGAAAAGAAUGGUGAGAAUCCAUUCCACCGAAAGCAUAAGGAUUCCUGGGCAACGAUCGUCGUCCCAGGGUAAGUCGGGACCUAAUCCGAGGCAUGGAGCGUAGGAGAUGGACAACUGGCAGAUAUUCCAGUACCGGUAAUGAUUGUUUGAGCGAUGGAGUGACACAGGAGGGCAGGCAGGCAGGAGAUUGGUUGUUCCUGUACAAGCGUGUAGGGUGGAACGUAGGCAAAUCCGCGUUCUGAGAGCCUGAGGCGUGAUGUGGAGGUUCCGGAAACGGAACUGAAGCUGCUGACCCCACACUGUCGAGAAAAGCUUCUAGUUAGAGAAUUACCGCCCGUACCGUAAACCGACACAGGUAUGCGGGGAGAGAAUCCUAAGGUGCGCGGGAGAACCCUCGUUAAGGAACUCGGCAAAAUGUACCCGUAACUUCGGGAUAAGGGUAGCCGCUGUUGUGAAGUCUGAACAGAUGGAGCAUGAGGCGGUCGCAGAGAAGAGGCCCAAGCGACUGUUUACCACAAACACAGGUGCCUGCUAAAGAGAAAUCUGACGUAUAGGUGCUGACACCUGCCCAGUGCCGGAAGGUUAAGGAAGGAUGUCCGGAGCAAUCCAAAGCAUUCGACCGAAGCCCCGGUGAACGGCGGCCGUAACUAUAACGGUCCUAAGGUAGCGAAAUUCCUUGUCGGGUAAGUUCCGACCCGCACGAAAGGUGUAACGAUUUGGGCACUGUCUCAACGAGGGACCCGGUGAAAUUGAAGUACCUGUGAAGAUGCAGGUUACCCGCGACUGGACAGAAAGACCCCAUGGAGCUUUACUGUAACCUGACAUUGGGUUCUGAUACAUCACGUACAGGAUAGGUGGGAGGCAUGGAAGCGAGGACGCUAGUCUUCGUGGAGCCGCCGUUGGGAUACCACCCUUGAUGUAUCGGAAUUCUAACCGUAGGAGUAACGAAACUCGGGACAGUGUCAGGCGGGCAGUUUGACUGGGGCGGUCGCCUCCCAAAGAGUAACGGAGGCGCCCAAAGGUUCCCUCAGCGCGGCCGGAAAUCGCGCGAAGAGUGUAAAGGCAGAAGGGAGCUUGACUGAGAGCCAAACACGGCGAUCAGGUACGAAAGUAGGGCUUAGUGAUCCGGUGGCAUCCAAGUGGAAGGGCCAUCGCUCAACGGAUAAAAGCUACCCUGGGGAUAACAGGCUAAUCUCUCCCAAGAGUCCAUAUCGACGGGGAGGUUUGGCACCUCGAUGUCGGCUCAUCACAUCCUGGGGCUGAAGUCGGUCCCAAGGGUUGGGCUGUUCGCCCAUUAAAGUGGUACGUGAGCUGGGUUCAGAACGUCGUGAGACAGUUCGGUCCCUAUCCAUCGCGGGCGCAAGAGAUUUGAAGGGGGCUGCUCCUAGUACGAGAGGACCGGAGUGGACGAACCAAUGGUGUACCAAUUAUCUCGCCAGAGGUAUAGUUGGGUAGCUACGUUCGGAAAGGAUAAACGCUGAAAGCAUCUAAGCGUGAAACCAGCCUUAAGAUGAGAUCUCUCAUAGAGUAAUCUAGUAAGACACCUUGGAGAAGACGAGGUUGAUAGGUCGGGAGUGUAAGUACAGUAAUGUAUUCAGCGGACCGAUACUAAUAUGUCGAGGGCUUGACUUA
This 1843-nucleotide ribosomal RNA is filed under the name human gut metagenome. RNAcentral's name for it is "bacterial LSU rRNA". It matches the Rfam family "Bacterial large subunit ribosomal RNA", at positions 1096 to 2925 of the family's 2925-position model. The record is from RNAcentral.